Molecule: long non-coding RNA, 793 nt
Organism: Aquila chrysaetos chrysaetos
Lineage: Eukaryota; Metazoa; Chordata; Aves; Accipitriformes; Accipitridae
Exons: 2
Source: RefSeq, a predicted model, not a curated record
CCCCAGCCGCCGAGUCCCGCGCACAGCCGCCCCCUCGGGCGGCCUCCGCGGCGGCGGCGGCGAGGGCGAGGUGUCGCUGGCCUCGGGGAAGCCCUCCUAGGGGCCGGUUGCCGGCAGCGCAGCGUCCGCAGGGCGAGCGCGGAGCGGCCGGCCCACGGAGAGGACAGCCUCCCCCGUGGGCACCAGAGCGGGCGGCAGGGGUGCGUAAAGGCGGGAAGGGCAACCUCCCGUCAUCGGGCGGCUGCCGCUCUCCGACCCCCCGCCCCCGGUGCCGGUGGGUAGAAGGGCUUCGUGUCUGACAAGUUUCCGUCUGCCCGCGCCAGCGGGAGCCGCUGUGAGGCGAAAACAACGGCGGCGAGGCAGAAGGCCUCGGACCGGCAAGCGCACGUUUCAGGGACAGACCUUGCCUCGUUCAGCCGCGGCUGCAGCGUGGAAAACUCACACAAGCAUCUACUGCAGUGACACUGAAAACUUCCUGCAAACAGGGAAAGGAAACAAACUGUGAAAUAAAAAUGUUCUGAUGCCUCCCAGAUACAAUCACUUAAUAUACUACCAAUAUCCAUACCACUUAAAAGACCAGGAGUGUAGCGUAUCACGUUGGUUGUGAUCACUGCAUAUCUAAGACUCUGCUCAUCAAGAUCUCUGUGGACAGAACACUGCAAAUGCAAAGAAUCCUACUGAAAUAGAUGGGAAAUCCUUAUAUUGUUAAGUUUCAACAUUUUGUCAGGGUCGGGUUUAUCUGGACCUGCAAAACUUGCCAGACUCUUGUCUAAUAAAGCACACCAUCAGUUGA